UUAAUACUUUAUAACAGAUUGAAUGGCAUCAUUUAAUUUUGAAAGAUUUCUCGCAGUAGGAUAGGCAUGCGUAAGAUUAGUUAAUUGGAGAGGUAACGGCUCACCAAGACGAUGAUCUUUAGGGGGCCUGAGAGGGUGAACCCCCACACUGGUACUGAGACACGGACCAGACUCCACGGGAGGCAGCAGUGAGGAAUAUUGGACAAUGGGUGGAAGCCUGAUCCAGCCAUCCCGCGUGUAGGACGACUGCCUUAUGGGUUGUAAACUACUUUUAUCUGGGGAUAAACCUACUCACGUGUGAGUAGCUGAAGGUACCAGAAGAAUAAGCACCGGCUAACUCCGUGCCAGCAGCCCCGGUAAUACGGAGGGUGCAAGCGUUAUCCGGAUUUAUUGGGUUUAAAGGGUCCGUAGGCGUAUUAAUCAGUCAGUGGUGAAAUCCCGCA
RNAcentral lists this ribosomal RNA (443 nucleotides) under Empedobacter sp. DsF.N002. RNAcentral describes it as "bacterial SSU rRNA". It matches the Rfam family "Bacterial small subunit ribosomal RNA", at positions 163 to 606 of the family's 1533-position model. Lineage: Bacteria; Pseudomonadati; Bacteroidota; Flavobacteriia; Flavobacteriales; Weeksellaceae. The record is from RNAcentral.